AUUGAACGCUGGCGGCAGGCCUAACACAUGCAAGUCGAGCGGAUGAAGGGAGCUUGCUCCUGGAUUCAGCGGCGGACGGGUGAGUAAUGCCUAGGAAUCUGCCUGGUAGUGGGGGAUAACGUCCGGAAACGGGCGCUAAUACCGCAUACGUCCUGAGGGGGAAAGGGGGGGAUCUUCGGACCUCCCGCUAUCGGAUGAGCCUAGGUCGGAUUAGCUAGUUGGUGGGGUAAAGGCCUACCAAGGCGACGAUCCGUAACUGGUCUGAGAGGAUGAUCAGUCACACUGGAACUGAGACACGGUCCAGACUCCUACGGGAGGCAGCAGUGGGGAAUAUUGGACAAUGGGCGAAAGCCUGAUCCAGCCAUGCCGCGUGUGUGAAGAAGGUCUUCGGAUUGUAAAGCACUUUAAGUUGGGAGGAAGGGCAGUAAGUUAAUACCUUGCUGUUUUGACGUUACCAACAGAAUAAGCACCGGCUAACUUCGUG
This 484-nucleotide ribosomal RNA is filed under the name uncultured bacterium. Its description in RNAcentral is "partial 16S ribosomal RNA". It matches the Rfam family "Bacterial small subunit ribosomal RNA", at positions 30 to 507 of the family's 1533-position model. The record is from RNAcentral.